CGGCAACAGCUCAAAUUUGAAAUCUGGCCCCCGGGCCCGAAUUGUAAUUUGUAGAGGAUGCUUUUGGUGAGGCACCGUUCUAAGUCUCUUGGAACAGGGCGUCAUAGAGGGUGAGAAUCCCGUACGUGACCGGUGACCGAUCCUCUGUAAAGCUCCUUCGAC
RNAcentral lists this ribosomal RNA (162 nucleotides) under Stictidaceae sp. RNAcentral describes it as "partial large subunit ribosomal RNA". It matches the Rfam family "Eukaryotic large subunit ribosomal RNA", at positions 99 to 261 of the family's 3401-position model. The record is from RNAcentral. Lineage: Eukaryota; Fungi; Ascomycota; Lecanoromycetes; Ostropales; Stictidaceae.